Molecule: long non-coding RNA, 3203 nt
Organism: Anguilla rostrata (American eel)
Lineage: Eukaryota; Metazoa; Chordata; Actinopteri; Anguilliformes; Anguillidae
Exons: 3
Source: RefSeq, a predicted model, not a curated record
GUGAGGGCAGGCUGGGAGAGAAUCAAAGGAUUAUAUAAAAUAUUGUUUGAGAAAUAUAUCAGGGGAAUGAAUCUACAUGAAGGGGAAACAGCAUCGAUGGUCACUGUAAAAUGUUUCUUUGGUGGCAGACUUGCUGAUAUACUAUUGGUAGGGUUUCUGGAUCGCUGCCAUUCCUAUAAGUAUGCGGGAGGCAUUAGCUGUUUUUCCAGUUCCUCGCUGUCCUCAGAUGAACUAAGCACCGCUGCCAAGAAUCCGGCACAGUUUAUAGAAGGUAACUGGGUUAGAAGCCAACAGUGUAUUUCAGCGACAAAAAGACGGAAAGGAUUGUUUGGCAAAAUCAUACCUUGUGCUCCGUGUCACCUGCUGUGAUGCUUCUGCUAGCUGAGAAGAUGGCAAUGUCAGGACUACCAUCUGCAUCUCUGUCACCAUAGCAACCCCUCCAAAAAGGAAAACUAAUUCUGUGAGGCCAUUUUUUUGUUAUUGUUGUGGGUGAACUUGAUCCAAAUAUACUGCCAGGCACACCGUGAUAAGGAUGGAAAGGAACAGGGAUAUGAUUGAGUGUUAUACAAGCACCAGGUCAAGGAGUUUCUUCAAGCUGAACAUACUCCAUUUCUGUUGGUGUUUAUGAUGCAGAGAAACUGGCAGUAUGACAACAAUCACAAAGAUGGAGCAUGAUACGUCUCAGCUUGGGCAAGGUGUGGAAGUGGUCUUCCAGUUUAACGUCCAUGAGUAGUAUUUGUAUUUGGCUGCAAUUUAGGAUGGCUGUGAGCCAUCAAAUAUCCUACUGGGAUGAUGUUUUCUUCUCUUAAAUGGAGAAUACUGGUCUCUCUCUAAGUUUUUUUUUUUUUUUUUUUUUUUUUUUGGAAUGACAUCACCUGUUCGUCACCACCUAAGGUGACAUAGUGUUCAGGCCAUGCCUGUAUGAAUUUUGGCACCAAAUUUUAGGAGAGAAAAAUUGUCACUUAUUUUAGCCCCAAUUUACAUUUCUCAAGCACAAAUAACUUGCAUAGAUAUAAAAUAAUAGAGGGGUAUAUACUGACUGUCUGGUUAUUAACUAUUAGACCUAUAUUAAGAAGCUAACAAAUUUGUCAGGGUCUGAACUUGUGUACAAUCAGAAGCUUAGAAGGUGUGAUACAAAAUGUUCAUUAACUGUCUAAAAAGUACUUCAUUCACUGUUGCUUUUCUCUGCCUCUUGUACCCAGGAUGCACACCACACUAGUAAACAUCAAUUUCAUUUUCCCACAUGAAAAAAAUAAUGCAAUACAAUAGUUUACAAUGCUGUGACAAGUGACAAAAGAUGAAAUCUUUCUGAUUGUAAGUUAAAUUCAAACUCAGUGUAGCCCAGCAACCCCAUAGCAUGGAGCAAGGGGUUACCCAUGUGCUGGACAAUCUGACUCAUAUUACCACACACUGGCAAUUACAAAGAGUCAUGCAACCCCCUCCUCUCAACAUAAAGCCUUUUGGGAUUUCUGCAUUUUCUUCUGUUCUUUCCAUGUAGACAGGGGCAACAGGAACCUUGAGCUCUGACAAACUUGGAAACAACUUGGGCCUCCUCUGUUACAUAUGUGUGGCCCUGAAAUUGCAACAUGAAGUGCCACUAGUCAGGUUCAAGCUGACGUGGUACCCAUGAAAACAAGGGGGAUGGACGUCCAGAAGGUUUGCCAGCUGAAAUUCACCAGAAAUUCAGCUUUUGCCUUUUUGACACUAUACUCUUAUAAGGGUUGAUCCAUUACAGAAUCUAUGUCAGUCCUCUGAGCUGAGUUUAUCAUAAUUUAUUUUCUCUAGAAGAACAUUUUAUAUUGUUGCCUAUUUAGGUAAAUGUCAUCUGGGAGAACCUAGUAUUCAUAUUCAUAGCAGUGACUGUUAAAUUAAUGAAUGGUGCAGCAUGUGGCUUGCACACAGUUUUGAUGGAAGUUGUCACCUGUGGUGCUAGCAAAGUUAUGUCAGCUCAAUGAUUUAAAAACACAAAUUCCCAGUAUGUGGCUUUCAACUGAGAAUUAGGCACAAGGGGUUAAAAACAAACCAGACACCUAACUAGAUACAAACCUGCACUCAGGAACUGUUCUUUUCCACUCCUCUGCAGUGUUUGAAUAGGGCACCAUUGCAGAACCCAGAUAGAACACUGUGUGUGGGCAGGGGGUCUGUGGAUCUUAUGUUUGUUUUGCUUCAGGAAUGUGUUACCGUACACAGCUAGAUGUCUAAGGGAGAAGAAAUGACUCUUGAGUUAAGGUGGUUUUCCAUUCAAAUGCUGGGCUUCCCAUCCCAGGUUCUUCUCUCCCAUUGGUGGUAACAGCAGGGCCAAUGGCAUGCGAGUGUCCUGCUAGUAUGAGGUUGGCACACCAAUAAUGAUGUAAGUUUAAAAUGAAUUCACAGUGACACAGGCCAGCUUAGUGUGUGGACAAGAAAGCAUAUGCAACUUCACUUCACACAGGGGAUACACGUGGUCCCAACAAAUUCUGUACAGGAGAAACUGGUGUUGCUUUUCCUAUGAAUGAGGAAAGUGUUUUGCAUGUCACGCAUUGACUCCGUUUGUUUCAAUAAGCCGUUCUGUGUGGUAGUUGUGAGCAACCUGAGGUAAAAAUUCACACCUUGGCAGCUGUGAAUUUUAUAUGCGAAGGCAAACCAAAUCUCCCCAACGCAGGGAGAUCAGACGUGGCACUGGCAGCAGGCAGUGGGAGCAGAGCCGCAUUUUUCAGCUAAUGAAGCGCAGUCCCCCUGCCUGCAAGCGGCCGUGACACAGACGUCUGGAGCCGAGCUUCGCUGUAUGUGGCAACAGCUGAUUAGAUUACUGAGCCCAGGAUGCUGGGAGCAUUACAGCCACCCAGCCUCUCACCUCGUCUGCUCUCUUUUCCCCUCACCUUGCCUCGUUGCCCUCCUCCCUGCCACCGCCACCCCCACCCCCACCCCUGCCACCAUCCUCGAGCAGAGCAACAACGCCUCCCUCAGGCUCCAGGGAGCAUGUGCUAUCUUUUACUUCACCCCCUCAAGCAGGCCUGGCAGAGGAAUAAAUAGCAUCCAAGGGAAAAACUAAAAUCUUUUAAAAGUCUCAUUCGCCUUUGGUGUUUUUCCCACAGUAGUCCACACAGGCUUCUUGGUAAAGCAGCCUGAACGUGGCUGGUUGUGUGCUAACAGAGUGUGACCUUGGCAUGCCCCAGAGAAUAUGCUGAAGGAACAGUGCCCGUGUUAGGCAAGGUCCCCCCUCU